UACGUAGGGGGCAAGCGUUGUCCGGAAUCAUUGGGCGUAAAGCGCGUGUAGGCGGCUCGUUAAGUCUGCUGUGAAAGUCCAGGGCUCAACCCUGGGAUGCCGGUGGAUACUGUCGAGCUCGAGUCCGGAAGAGGCGAGUGGAAUUCCUGGUGUAGCGGUGAAAUGCGCAGAUAUCAGGAGGAACACCAAUGGCGAAGGCAGCUCGCUGGGACGUGACUGACGCUGAGACGCGAAAGCGUGGGGAGCAAACAGG
RNAcentral lists this ribosomal RNA (253 nucleotides) under uncultured bacterium. RNAcentral's name for it is "partial 16S ribosomal RNA". It matches the Rfam family "Bacterial small subunit ribosomal RNA", at positions 524 to 776 of the family's 1533-position model. The record is from RNAcentral.